Molecule: small nucleolar RNA, 117 nt
Filed under: Echinops telfairi (small Madagascar hedgehog)
Lineage: Eukaryota; Metazoa; Chordata; Mammalia; Afrosoricida; Tenrecidae
Description: Small nucleolar RNA SNORA61 (ENSETEG00000024796.1)
Source: RNAcentral
ACCAGUUCCCUUACCCAUCAGAUCUGAACACUGGUCUGAGGGGUUAUAAAACAAAGGAGAGUAAACUGGAAACGGAGUUCAAUUAUUUUGUGACACAUGGGUUGGUUUCAAACAAAC